GAUGAAGAACGCAGCGAAUUGCGAUAAGUAAUGUGAAUUGCAGAUUUUCAGUGAAUCAUCGAAUCUUUGAACGCACAUUGCGCCCCUUGGUAUCCCGAGGGGCAUGCCUGUUCGAGCGUCAUUUCACCACUCAAGCCUGGCUUGGUGUUGGGCGACGUCCCCUUUGGGGACGCGCCUCGAAACGCUCGGCGGCGUGGCACCGGCUUUAAGCGUAGCAGAAUCUUUCGCUUUGGAAGUCGGGGCCCCGUCUGCCGGAAGACCUACUCGCAAGGUUGAUCUCGGAUCAGGCAGGGAUACCCGCUGAACUUAAGCAUAUCAAUAAGCGGAGGA
RNAcentral lists this unclassified non-coding RNA (330 nucleotides) under soil metagenome. RNAcentral describes it as "partial contains 5.8S ribosomal RNA, internal transcribed spacer 2, and large subunit ribosomal RNA". The stretch from base 1 to 121 matches the Rfam family "5.8S ribosomal RNA", at positions 35 to 154 of the family's 154-position model. The record is from RNAcentral.